This 497-nucleotide ribosomal RNA is filed under the name uncultured bacterium. Its description in RNAcentral is "partial 16S ribosomal RNA". It matches the Rfam family "Bacterial small subunit ribosomal RNA", at positions 28 to 507 of the family's 1533-position model. The record is from RNAcentral.
GAUGAACGCUGGCAGCGUGCCUAAUACAUGCAAGUCGAGCGAACGGACGAGAAGCUUGCUUCUCUGAUGUUAGCGGCGGACGGGUGAGUAACACGUGGAUAACCUACCUAUAAGACUGGGAUAACUUCGGGAAACCGGAGCUAAUACCGGAUAAUAUUUUGAACCGCAUGGUUCAAAAGUAAAAGACGGUCUUGCUGUCACUUAUAGAUGGAUCCGCGCUGCAUUAGCUAGUUGGUAAGGUAACGGCUUACCAAGGCAACGAUGCAUAGCCGACCUGAGAGGGUGAUCGGCCACACUGGAACUGAGACACGGUCCGGACUCCUACGGGAGGCAGCAGUAGGGAAUCUUCCGCAAUGGGCGAAAGCCUGACGGAGCAACGCCGCGUGAGUGAUGAAGGUCUUCGGAUCGUAAAACUCUGUUAUUAGGGAAGAACAUAUGUGUAAGUAACUGUGCACAUCUUGACGGUACCUAAUCAGAAAGCCACGGCUAACUACGUG